UGGGGCCCAGAUCGUUUACCGUGAAAAAAUUAGAGUGUUCAAAGCAGGCAGAUCCAAUUUUCUGCCACCGAAUACAUUAGCAUGGGAUAAUGGAAUAGGACCCUGUCCUCCUAUUUUCAGUUGGUUUUGGCAGCGCGAGGACUAGGGUAAUGAUUAAUAGGGAUAGUUGGGGGCAUUAAUAUUUAAUUGUCAGAGGUGAAAUUCUUGGAUUUAUGAAAGAUUAACUUCUGCGAAAGCAUCUGCCAAGGAUGUUUUCAUUAAUCAAGAACGAAAGUUAGGGGAUCGAAGACGAUCAGAUACCGUCGUAGUCUUAACCAUAAACGAUGCCGACCAGCGAUUAGGAGACGUUGAAUACAAAACACCACCAUCGGCGCGGUCGUCCUUGGCGUGUCUCGGCUUCACGGCCGGGGCGCGCGAGGGCGGUUUAGCCCGGUGGCACCGGUGAAUGACUCCCCUAGCAGCUUGUGAGAAA
RNAcentral lists this ribosomal RNA (472 nucleotides) under Acanthamoeba genotype T4. RNAcentral's name for it is "SSU rRNA". It matches the Rfam family "Eukaryotic small subunit ribosomal RNA", at positions 737 to 1097 of the family's 1831-position model. The record is from RNAcentral. Lineage: Eukaryota; Discosea; Longamoebia; Acanthamoebidae.